UUACGGCCAUAUCAUGUUGAAAGUACCGGUUCCUUUACGAUCACCGAAGUUAAGCAACAUCGAGCCUGUCAGUGCCUAGAUAGGUAACCGAUUGGGAAUACCAGAUGCUGUAAG
This is a non-coding RNA of Acanthosepion pharaonis, 114 nucleotides long. The record is from the annotation of a GenBank genome assembly. NCBI's taxonomy places the organism in Eukaryota, Metazoa, Mollusca, Cephalopoda, Sepiida, Sepiidae.